AAAUUUAUAGUAAAAGGAAAAUCCGUUGAUUUAAAAAAUCGUGAGGG
Molecule: transfer RNA, 47 nt
Filed under: Scaevola sericophylla
Lineage: Eukaryota; Viridiplantae; Streptophyta; Magnoliopsida; Asterales; Goodeniaceae
Description: partial tRNA-Leu
Source: RNAcentral